GAUGAACGCUGGCGGCGUGCCUAAUACAUGCAAGUCGAGCGAACAGACGAGGAGCUUGCUCCUCUGACGUUAGCGGCGGACGGGUGAGUAACACGUGGAUAACCUACCUAUAAGACUGGGAUAACUUCGGGAAACCGGAGCUAAUACCGUAUAACAUGUUGAACCGCAUGGUUCAACAGUGAAAGACGGUCUUGCUGUCACUUAUAGAUGGAUCCGCGCCGCAUUAGCUAGUUGGUAAGGUAACGGCUUACCAAGGCAACGAUGCGUAGCCGACCUGAGAGGGUGAUCGGCCACACUGGAACUGAGACACGGUCCAGACUCCUACGGGAGGCAGCAGUAGGGAAUCUUCCGCAAUGGGCGAAAGCCUGACGGAGCAACGCCGCGUGAGUGAAGAAGGUCUUCGGAUCGUAAAACUCUGUUAUUAGGGAAGAACAAAUGUGUAAGUAACUAUGCACGUCUUGACGGUACCUAAUCAGAAAGCCACGGCUAACUACGUG
Molecule: ribosomal RNA, 497 nt
Filed under: uncultured bacterium
Lineage: Bacteria
Description: partial 16S ribosomal RNA
Rfam family: Bacterial small subunit ribosomal RNA
Source: RNAcentral